This 468-nucleotide ribosomal RNA is filed under the name uncultured bacterium. Its description in RNAcentral is "partial 16S ribosomal RNA". It matches the Rfam family "Bacterial small subunit ribosomal RNA", at positions 28 to 507 of the family's 1533-position model. The record is from RNAcentral.
GACGAACGCUGGCGGCGUGCUUAACACAUGCAAGUCGAACGGAAAGGCCCUGCUUUUGUGGGGUGCUCGAGUGGCGAACGGGUGAGUAACACGUGAGUAACCUGCCCUUGACUUUGGGAUAACUUCAGGAAACUGGGGCUAAUACCGGAUAGGAGCUCCUGCUGCAUGGUGGGGGUUGGAAAGUUUCGGCGGUUGGGGAUGGACUCGCGGCUUAUCAGCUUGUUGGUGGGGUAGUGGCUUACCAAGGCUUUGACGGGUAGCCGGCCUGAGAGGGUGACCGGCCACAUUGGGACUGAAAUACGGCCCAGACUCCUACGGGAGGCAACAGGGGGGAAUAAUGCAAAAUGGGGGGGAGCCUGAUGCAGCAACGCCGGGUGGGGGAUGACGGGCUUCGGGUUGGAAACCGCUUUCGCCUGUGACGAAGCGUGAGUGACGGUAAUGGGUAAAGAAGCACCGGCUAACUACGUG